Molecule: small nucleolar RNA, 107 nt
Organism: Lactuca sativa (garden lettuce)
Lineage: Eukaryota; Viridiplantae; Streptophyta; Magnoliopsida; Asterales; Asteraceae
Source: RefSeq, a predicted model, not a curated record
AGAUCAUUUUGGGGGAAAUUUCUUAUUAGCCCUUUGUAUUUUUCCUAAGCCUCGUAUAAGGACUCCCCUACUUGUUGCUCAAAGUUUGCUAUGGCCUUCUUGAAUUU